AUUGGGUUUAAAGGGAGCGUAGGCCGGAGAUUAAGUGUGUUGUGAAAUGUAGACGCUCAACGUCUGACUUGCAGCGCAUACUGGUUUCCUUGAGUACGCACAACGUUGGCGGAAUUCGUCGUGUAGCGGUGAAAUGCUUAGAUAUGACGAAGAACUCCGAUUGCGAAGGCAGCUGACGGGAGCGCAACUGACGCUGAAGCUCGAAGGUGCGGGUAUCGAACAGGAUUAGAUACCCUGGUAGUCCGCACAGUAAACGAUGGAUGCCCGCUGUUGGUACGUGGUAUCAGCGGCUAAGCGAAAGCAUUAAGCAUCCCACCUGGGGAGUACGCCGGCAACGGUGAAACUCAAAGGAAUUGACGGGGGCCCGCACAAGCGGAGGAACAUGUGGUUUAAUUCGAUGAUACGCGAGGAACCUUACCCGGGCUUGAAUUGCAGAGGAAGGAUUUAGAGAUAAUGACGCCCUUCGGGGUCUCUGUGAAGGUGCUGCAUGGUUGUCGUCAGCUCGUGUCGUGAG
This 514-nucleotide ribosomal RNA is filed under the name uncultured bacterium. RNAcentral describes it as "bacterial SSU rRNA". It matches the Rfam family "Bacterial small subunit ribosomal RNA", at positions 553 to 1071 of the family's 1533-position model. The record is from RNAcentral.